Molecule: ribosomal RNA, 446 nt
Filed under: uncultured bacterium
Lineage: Bacteria
Description: partial 16S ribosomal RNA
Rfam family: Bacterial small subunit ribosomal RNA
Source: RNAcentral
CCUACGGGUGGCAGCAGUCGAGAAUCAUUCACAAUGGGGGAAACCCUGAUGGUGCGACGCCGCGUGGGGGAAUGAAGGUCUUCGGAUUGUAAACCCCUGUUAUGUGGGAGCAAAUCAAAAAGAUAGUACCACAAGAGGAAGAGACGGCUAACUCGGUGCCAGCAGCCGCGGUCAUACAGAGGCCUCAAGCGUUGUGCGGAAUCACUGGGCGUAAAGCGUGCGUAGGCUGUUUCGUAAGUCGUGUGUGAAAGGCGCGGGCUCAACCCGCGGAAGGCACAUGAUACUGCGAGACUAGAGUAAAGGAGGGGGAACCGGAAUUCUCGGUGUAGCAGUGAAAUGCGUAGAUAUCGAGAGGAACACUCGUGGCGAAGGCGGGUUCCUGGACAUUAACUGACGCUGAGGCACGAAGGCCAGGGGAGCGAAAGGGAUUAGAUACCCUGGUAGUC